This 834-nucleotide long non-coding RNA is filed under the name Capra hircus (goat). Its description in RNAcentral is "lncRNA (ENSCHIG00010026026.1)". Lineage: Eukaryota; Metazoa; Chordata; Mammalia; Artiodactyla; Bovidae. The record is from RNAcentral.
AUUCCAACGCCACAGCUACCAAGUAACAAGAUUAAGAACCCUCAAGAAUUUUUUAAAAUGAAAAUGCUUUCUAACUAAGAGUAAGAAAUGCAUUUCUAAAGCAUUUCAUUCAGAAGGUCACAUUCAAAUUAGCAGAUACAGGAGCCCUGCCAGUAAAGUGUUUUGAAAUAAAAGUCCUCAAUCCCGCCACUCCAGUUGGCUCAGCGUCUGUCCAGGCGAGUGUGCCUGUGAGACCUGGGCUUUGUAGCCAGGGAAUGGGAGGGGGGGUUAACUGUGGAAACUCGGUCCAGGGGUCCCAAAACCUUGAGGGUUGAGGCGAGGCAGUCUCCUGCUGCUCUCACACAGUCCUCAAGUUGUCUUUCCUCUUGGGGGGGACCAAGCCAUCUAGCCUAGCCCUGGUCCUGUGGAGUUCUCAUGUCUGCUCAUCUUCUGCCAAGGGUGCUUGAGGUUGAGAGUCAGCCUUGUUCAUCUGGAAGCGGAGGGAAGCUGACCUCUUUCUCCUGGGCCUUCUCCGCUAUCACAAGGAUAUGCGUGUCUCGCUGAAUGCCACCCCCAUCACCUCUUCUUGAGUGAGGAACCCAGAUGUCUGCCUCUUACCUCCAGGUUCAUGGGUCUCCAGCUUCAGCUUUAUUCUGUCCCCAUUGCCUCCGGGACACACUGAACCCCAUGGAACUCAGCCCAGCACCAUUGACCUUUGCCAACUGACCUUUGCCAACCUUUGUCCUUUCACUGCUCUCAAUCUGGGGACCUCAGACUUCAGCCCUGAGACUCCCUGGCCAGAUGCCUCCCUCCCAGAUGCCUUGGGCCCUUGCUCUGUCAUUUCCUUUCUCCCUU